Molecule: long non-coding RNA, 1784 nt
Organism: Paramisgurnus dabryanus
Lineage: Eukaryota; Metazoa; Chordata; Actinopteri; Cypriniformes; Cobitidae
Source: RefSeq, a predicted model, not a curated record
AUAAGCCCCUCUGUUAACUUUUGUUCAAGCCUGUCUAGAUCUUUUAUCAGUCUAGAAAGAUGUUGGAGAAAAGACAUCAUCCUCUUCUAUAAUCUCCAUCUGUAAUUGGACUAACAACUGGACCAGUGAAUGCAGGCAACUUACUCUCCAUUCGACCUUGCAGGUCACACCAUGGUCUCAAGAGGGAAAAUGAGUGCUCUAUGGAUUGAACAGAAAAGGUGAAUCAAAACUCCAACCAUCUGUAUGAGGGUCUGGAUGGAUAAAGGAUGCCCACUGGAGCUGGAAAUGAUGGAUCAGGUGGAUCCACACUUGAACCAUCUGUAUGAUGAUCUGCACCCACUGGAUCUGUAAAUGGUGGUGCAGAAAGACACAGCACAUCAUUAUAUCGUUGGCUCCGCCCACUGGUGUUCAGUCUAAAGUAGUAGUUGUUGACAAUCAUAAAGUUGUAAUAACAGUAAGAUUGUGAUGUCAGACAAACAUUGUGCUGUUGCUGGCUGUGGGAAAUUAGUGUCUUUGUAAGGGUCGCAAAUAAUUUGAAAAUAUUUAUGUUUCUAAAUAUGCCCCCCUACCAUGAACUAAACUGGACUGUUGCAGAGACCAAGUGUAGUAGGGUACACUACUAUGCAGAAUUCUGGCCUGGUGUUUGGUCCCCCCUUUCUCUGGCUUGUGUCUCCAUCAUCAUUACACUCUUGUCAGUGUAAUAGUAUCGUCGUCUGCAUACCAGGACUUUGUUACUCAGCUGUCCCUUCUCCUUCAAGCUACAUUUUUGUCAAGCUGCAACAAGUUGGAAUACAUAAUUAUUAACGUUUAAUGAUUUUGAUGUAUGAAAUAUGUAACAAAAGCAAAAAAUGUAUAGACAUUCUAUUAAGAAAUUACCUUUUUGUUGUUUGUUUACUGACCUUUCAACCAUAUUGCAUUUAUAAUUGAUCAUCAUACCUUUGGUCUACUGUUAACAGGCUACUGUAGAAAACAAAGUCAAACAAAAAAGAGAGAAAAAAUUAUAAAUGCUGAAUGUGUCUCAUCUUAAAUACAUUGUUGUUGUUUUUGUUUCAUUGAAUUUGGAUGUUUUGAUGAUUUAAGGAAAAUUUACGUAGCAUAUAUAUUGAUGUUUUAAAUCAGAGUUUGUUAAUGACACUUAAUCAUUAACAAACAUUUAAAAAGCUUUAUUACAAUACUAAUUGAUAAUAUUCAUGUAAUAAUCUUGUUUUGUAACACCCUAAAUCACUGAGCGCACAAACGCUACCCCUGUUACAAGCAUGAGUGAUUGACUUCAGGCACACAUGCGCAAACAUUGAAGUACCGCGAGAGUGAUUCAAAAGCCCACGAAACCGUGUAAUCACGCGGUACUGUGAUGUCAUACUGGUUAAGGCUAAGCCACGUGAAGCCUGACACAAGGGCUACACUAAUCUUUGGGCUGGAGUAGCCUGUGGCUUCGUGUCUCAUCGCGUUAAACGAUCGCAGAACGAUUUAUUUCUCUUUUUCACCUCGAUCUUUGGCCUCGUGUGAUUUACCAAAACCAACAUGUGAAGUUACAACGCUGACGAAGGAGUUUCAUCAGUAGAGUGUGUCCUGGAAAACGUGUGCUCGGAAACAUGCAGAAUACAGUAUUUACAGAGCCGACCUUGAGGCACCCACUGAUGGAUAAUCUGUUUACCUAAAAACAGCCCACCACAAUCCAUGUUUACCAGCUGUGAAAGUGCAGGCCAAAAAUCUUCCUUCACCUGUGGGCCUCUACCCACAUGUAGAUAAGCAUUUCAGGAGAAACCUGCCUGUGAUCUGCUAAG